Molecule: long non-coding RNA, 674 nt
Organism: Oncorhynchus tshawytscha (Chinook salmon)
Lineage: Eukaryota; Metazoa; Chordata; Actinopteri; Salmoniformes; Salmonidae
Source: Ensembl
GUGGAGAGUGGAGGAGGAUAAUAGAGGUGUAGAGUAGAGGAGGAUAAUAGAGGUGUAGAGUAGAGGAAGAUAAUAGAGGUGGAGAGUGGAGGAGGAUAAUAGAGGUGGAGAGUAGAGGAGGAUAAUAGUGGUGGAGAGUGGAGGAGGAUAAUGGAGGUGGAGAGUAGUGGAGGAGAGGAGAGAAGAAGGAGGAGAGUAGAGGAGGAUAAUAGAGGUGGAGAGUGGAGGAGGAUAAUAGAGGUGGAGAGUAGAGGUGGAGAAUGCAGGUGGAGAGUAGAGGAGGAGAGUAGAGGAGGAGAGUAGAGGAGGAGAGUAGAGAAGGAUAAUAUAGGUGGAGAGUAGAGGAGGUGAAUAGAGGAGAAUAAUAGAGGUGGGGAAUAGAGGAGGAUAAUAGAGGUGGAGAGUAGAGGAGGAUAAUAGAGGUGGGGAGUAGAGGAGGAUAAUAGAGGUGGAGAGUGGAGGAGGAUAAUAGAGGUGGAGAGUGGAGGAGGAUAAUAGAGAUGUAGAGUAGAGGAGAUGAAUAGAGGUGGAGAGUACAGGAGGAGAGGAGAGGAGGAGAGUAGAGUAGAGGAGGAGAGUAGAAGAGGAUAAUAGAGGUGUGGAGUGGAGGAGGAUAAUAGAGGUGGAGAGGAGAGGAGGAGGGGAGAGGAGGAGAGUAGAGGAGAUGAAUAGAG